This 449-nucleotide ribosomal RNA is filed under the name uncultured bacterium. RNAcentral describes it as "bacterial SSU rRNA". It matches the Rfam family "Bacterial small subunit ribosomal RNA", at positions 331 to 794 of the family's 1533-position model. The record is from RNAcentral.
CCAUACUCCUACGGGAGGCAGCAGUGGGGAAUAUUGGGCAAUGGGCGCAAGCCUGACCCAGCAACGCCGCGUGAAGGAAGAAGGCUUUCGGGUUGUAAACUUCUUUUGUCAGGGACGAAGCAAGUGGCGGUACCUGACGAAUAAGCCACGGCUAACUACGUGCCAGCAGCCGCGGGAAUACGUAGGUGGCAAGCGUUAUCCGGAUUUACUGGGUGUAAAGGGCGUGUAGGCGGGACUGCAAGUCAGAUGUGAAAACCACGGGCUCAACCUGUGGCCUGCAUUUGAAACUGUAGUUCUUGAGUACUGGAGAGGCAGACGGAAUUCCUAGUGUAGCGGUGAAAUGCGUAGAUAUUAGGAGGAACACCAGUGGCGAAGGCGGUCUGCUGGACAGCAACUGACGCUGAGGCGCGAAAGCGUGGGGAGCAAACAGGAUUAGAUACCCUCGUAUC